This 86-nucleotide transfer RNA is filed under the name Isoptericola cucumis. RNAcentral's name for it is "tRNA-Asp". Lineage: Bacteria; Bacillati; Actinomycetota; Actinomycetes; Micrococcales; Promicromonosporaceae. The record is from RNAcentral.
CGUGAGCUCGCCGAACGGCGCCGAGACGUCGAGGCUGUCGCCCUCGAAGGCGUUGGCGUGCAGGUGGUUCGACACCUCGCCCGCAG